CGUAGGGGGCUAGCGUUGUCCGGAUUUAUUGGGCGUAAAAGAGCGUGUAGGCGGCCAGAUAGGUCUGCUGUGAAAACUCGAGGCUCAACCUCGAGCUGUCGGCGGAAACCAUCCGGCUAGAGUCCGGAAGAGGAGAGUGGAAUUCCCGGUGUAGCGGUGAAAUGCGCAGAUAUCGGGAAGAACACCUGUGGCGAAGGCGGCUCUCUGGGACGGUACUGACGCUGAGACGCGAAAGCGUGGGGAGCAAACAGGAUUAGAUACCCUGGUAGUCCACGCCGUAAACGAUGGGUGCUAGGUGUGGGGGAGUGUCGACUCUCUCCGUGCCGAAGCUAACGCAUUAAGCACCCCGCCUGGGGAGUACGGCCGCAAGGCUA
RNAcentral lists this ribosomal RNA (374 nucleotides) under uncultured organism. RNAcentral describes it as "bacterial SSU rRNA". It matches the Rfam family "Bacterial small subunit ribosomal RNA", at positions 526 to 896 of the family's 1533-position model. The record is from RNAcentral.